GCGCGCGCGGGAAUGCCGGGAGCACCAGGGUCGUGGAAUUUGGUGUCUUUUCCGUGUGCUCCGAGUGUCUAAGGGAUCUGAGAGAAAAUGCUGGCUGCGGUUUUCCUAGAUACGAAGUUAAACACCCGGUCGAGCUCUCUACUGUUCCUCUCAUUUGAACUAUAUUUCAUGUGAUUUCCAAGUUUCCCCGUUGUUUUAAGUCUCACAACAUGUUGUAAGAAAUCCUAGGGCCACAGAACAGCCACAUAGGCACAUCCUAGAAUUGAAAUGAGGGGCACAGCACUAGAGGGAAUUGAAGGAGAUUCUGGAAGCCCGAUUCCCACUCACACAAGCCUAGGGGAGGUGUGACUGUACAGUGGAACUCGCGAUGUAGUUCCAGCAAUCUCCUGCUUUCACCUCCUGAGCACUGGGAUGGAAGGUAUGGGUCGGGUCUCUGGGUCUUGCUUAUGAGGUACUGGGGAUCAAACCAGAACUUCCUGUAGGCUGUGUAGUUAAGCUUAACUCCGGGUCAGCCGUCCUUGUGAAAAUGGAACUGGGCCCUUAACUUGUUUUGUUUAGUUUAUUCCUUUGCCAGAUGGCCAAAUGAACAGGCAGCGGGACAGGCUGAAAGAAACCUACAGCAAUACAUACCCCCCCACCAAACACACACACACACACACACACACACACACACACACACACACACACACACACACACACACACACAAAUUUACUCAUAUUUUAAAAUAAAAAGGUAUGUUAAAAGAUAACUGGUUUGAACACAAAAGUACAUUUAUUUUGAACACAAAGGUACAUUUAUUUUAGGGAGUAGUUUUUGCAUAGAUAAAACUGAUAACAUUAAAAUUAGGGGUUUUGUUUUGUUUUAUUCUUUGCCUCCACAGAAAUUAUAAUCUCUUGUGAAGUACAAAACACCGGGCAUUGGUGGCGCACGCCUUUAAACCCAGCACUCGGGAGGCAGAG
Long non-coding RNA from Mesocricetus auratus (golden hamster), 960 nucleotides. RefSeq lists it as uncharacterized. The transcript is spliced from 2 exons. Lineage: Eukaryota; Metazoa; Chordata; Mammalia; Rodentia; Cricetidae. The record is from RefSeq and is a predicted model, not a curated record.